AGAGCGAACGCUGGCGGCGUGCCUAACACAUGCAAGUCGAACGAGAAAGUGGAGCAAUCCACGAGUAAAGUGGCGCACGGGUGAGUAACACGUGACUAACCUACCCUUGAGUGGGGAAUAACUGAGGGAAACCUUAGCUAAUACCGCAUAACACCUACGGGUCAAAGGAGCAAUUCGCUUAAGGAGGGGUCGCGGCAGAUUAGUUAGUUGGCGGGGUAAUGGCCCACCAAGACAGUGAUCUGUA
RNAcentral lists this ribosomal RNA (244 nucleotides) under uncultured bacterium. RNAcentral describes it as "partial small subunit ribosomal RNA". It matches the Rfam family "Bacterial small subunit ribosomal RNA", at positions 26 to 285 of the family's 1533-position model. The record is from RNAcentral.